Molecule: ribosomal RNA, 301 nt
Filed under: uncultured bacterium
Lineage: Bacteria
Description: partial 16S ribosomal RNA
Rfam family: Bacterial small subunit ribosomal RNA
Source: RNAcentral
CAGUCGCCGCGGUAAUACGGAGGGGGCUAGCGUUGUUCGGAAUUACUGGGCGUAAAGCGCACGUAGGCGGCUUGGUAAGUUAGAGGUGAAAGCCCAGGGCUCAACCCUGGAAUUGCCUUUAAGACUGCCGAGCUAGUAGGUGAGAGAGGUAAGUGGAAUUCCGAGUGUAGAGGUGAAAUUCGUAGAUAUUCGGAAGAACACCAGUGGCGAAGGCGGCUUACUGGCUCAUUCUAGACGCUGAGGUGCGAAAGCGUGGGGAGCAAACAGGAUUAGAUACCCCAGUAGUCCCUGUCUCUUAUAA